GCACUAGCGUGCGUCGGGUCCGUGCCGUGCGUGAAGUUCGGGGCGCCGGCGCCAUGGUGUUGGGGGCGGGGCGUUAAGACCCAGCCGCGCUGGAGGCGGAUGGCAAAGCUCCGAUAAUGAGCAUCGAGUCGAGCGGCCGCGGCCCCGGCCUGCCCCCAGGGGUGGAUGGGCCCUGCCGCCCCGGGGCCGGGUUGGCUGCGCGACACCGCCGCGAACACCCCGGCCCCACCGCGGCAGUCGGGACGAGACCUGGGCUGCCCUCAAGAUGGCUGCGGAGGGGCGGGGGGUGCCGGCCGGCUCAGCCCGGCGGCGGGGAGCCGGAUUAGCGCGGGAGAAGCGGCCUGUUCCCCUAGCCAGCCGGGCCGGCCCCUGUAGCGAGAAGCGGGGCGAUCGUGGUGACGCCUGGGCAACGGGCCCGGCGCAGGGGGCAAUUUCUUCGCUAUGGCGCGAAGUAGCGGGAGCGAGGCCGUCGCGGCGGCGGAUACUGCUGUGGCGUGUGCGGGGGUCGGGGAGGUGGCCCGGUGGAAACGGGACUGGGGGAGGAGCCGGGAAAACCGACCCGCUUCCCUUUCUUAAUCAUUCUCCUGUCAGCAGCCUCGGGCCACGCUCAGCCAGCCCUGCAAGCCGUUAGCGGGUGUCGGCCGGCCGGCUGCUGGCUCCAUGGACUCCGCCUCAGUUACUGUUUCCUGUGAUACUUUCCCCCUUGUUUGCAUUUUGUUCCCGUUAGGAGCCAGCUAGAUUUUUGGCUCGAGAAAUCCCCGUGGGGGGAGAUUGGUGUGUGGGGAGUCCCAUUAGUGCACACUUGGCUGUUUUGUCCGCUACCUUCACUGGGGAUGAAUGGUUUUAUUUCCAAAUUUGACAUUUUCUUGGGCCAGCUAUUGAGGAAAAAAAGUGAACAGUUUUAAACUAGGGCUGAUUUGGGGCAAGAACUACUCCCCUUGUACCUUAUGCAUAAAAAGAUCCUUUCCAGCAAGUGGUCAGUGACCAGCCUAGGUGACAUUUCAAGCCCGACUGUGUAACAUGCUGUCCCAAGCCCUGGAAAUAGAAGAUCCCUGAUGACAGAAUGCUUACAUAGAGUUAUGAUUACUCACGUUCUAAUGCAGCAGGGAUCUCUAGCCCAUGGCAUUUAGAAACUAUAUGUUGUAUCUUAUUAAAGUGGCGUGUGCAUGUGGUGACUGAAUUGAAGAAGCUGAUUAAUCAGGGGAGUAAUGAAAUAUUACAAAUAGUGUAUUCCAGCUUCUCAAACCCUUAUUUGCAGAAUACGUAGUUGGGGGGGGGGGCGGAAGGGGAUGAGGGUCACUUGAAAAGUAUUUUGUAGGAUGGAAAUUAGCUGGUGAAUGCAUAGUUUGUGCUGUUGUCUCUAAGGCAAAAUAAUAGUCUGAAAAUUAAUUUUUAGGUCAUAGUGGCUAAACUGUAAGGUCAAGCUCACAUUAAUAACUACUGUUAGCUGCAAAGAAAGUCAUAGACUUUCUAAUAUUAAUUGAAUGCACAUCUGUACUUACUAAGUUACCAUGAAAUUGAGAGAGAUGAUGGUACAAAUAAUUGUUUAGGUGAAGAUAAAUCAAAUGUAAACUUCAACUAGGAAGUUAAAAGAUGUGAACUCCUAAACAAGUCUUCAUCUAGGAUGUGCGCAGGAACAGCUGGAUUGUCAUGCAAAAGAUCUGCUUCAGGAGGACUGGCUUCUUCUGCUCACUCCUUGACUGUCUAAGAAGCAGGUGCUAUUUUUAAUAUUCUUUCUUAUUGCCUUGGGGGUACGCUUGGGUAAGAGACCAAUAAGUGCACUGAGGACCCUCACAUGCAAUUUAAGAGCCAUGUUUUCAAAUCUAGUGAUAAAGUCAAGUCAUUCAUGAAAAAUCCUGCUUAUAUCAACAUCUGGGUGACUGAAGAUGAAGGUGGCUUUAAAUAUUUCUGCAGCAUGUCUGCAUGCCAUAAAAUCCAAAGCUUUUAUUGAUCUCAACAGCAGGUGAAGUGUCACUAUUUGGUAUGUUGACCUUUUUCAAGUUUGGCAAAAAUCCCGGUGUGGGGUUGAAUUGCUGUAGGAGCUGCUGCUAAAAAAUUACAUGUCACUAUCCAUGUUAGUAGCGUGUAUGUUUUAUUAAGAAAAACUACAUGUCUAACUAGAUAUGUGCAAAACAAAUGGUAUGUGAUCUGCUACUCCGAGUCCCAGGAGAAGCAUUUAUUUCCCAGUGUCUUCCUGCACCUUCCUUAACUCUAGUGCUCUUGCACAGUGGGAAGGGUUUUUCUGUGCUCUUAGUUUUAUUAUAAUGUAUUACAUUAUUUAGCCCCUUAUAUUGGUCUUUUUAGCCAUAGCUGUCAAAGUGCUUUAUGAAGAUAAGAAGUAUCAUCCCCAUAUUACAAAAGAGAAUUUUGAGGGACAGAGUGAAGUCACAUGCCCAAAAUCACAUAGCAAACCAAUAGCAGAGGUAGGAACAGAAGUCAGUUCUUAACUUUACUUCAGUGUCUUAGUCAUGGGUCUAUACUGCCUCCUUAGUUAAAAUGCAUUAAGAAUCAUGUUUGUGUACCUAUACAUCUCUGGGAUUACUAAUAACUUGUCAUCUAAGAGGCAACAGUUUGAUUUCUUCAAGGUCACACAGAAGAGUCAGUCCUAGAAUAUUAAGUAUGAUUUAGAAACUUUCCUUAAAGUUUGCAAGUGUUCACCAAUCCCACUUGUGAAUAAGUGAAAUCUUUGUCAGCCACACAAAAUCAAGUAAACCGAUUUUGCACACAAAAUCAAGUAAACCGAUUUUGUGUAUGUAACCUAGCUGGCGGUGAGGAGAUACUGAGUAUUUAUAGCCCAUACUGUCUCAGAAGUCGAGUAUGUUUUUCUUACACUUUUUUGUCCAAUUACACACAGACAAUGAACACUGUGACCACGUGCACCUCAGCAAGCUGCUUCUCCACUUCUUCCCAUCCCUCAUUGCAGCAGACAGCAAUGCAUGCCCCUCUGUAAUCCUGCCCUCCACAAACAUUCAACAAAAUAAGUAAUUCUGCUAGGUUUCAGCCCUUACACUGUCACACUGUCUUGCUUUCUACAAGAAUUUAAGAGCAAAUAAGAUACUGACAUCCUAAAACAACUGUAUUUUAAAGUGUUUCCAUAGCGUAAUGUCCUAGGAUGCAGGAGCACUACCUAUUCACCAGUAAACAAGGGGCCAACUUUAGUAAAUCCUUUUACACAGGUGCUUAAGGAACACCUAUAGGCUGGCUGCUUGGGAGACGGGGGGGGGGGAAAUCAGGUCAUAGGACUCGUUAAAGCCAGCCAGACACAGAAUUUUCUCUUUUUUUUCUUGUUAAAUUUUUUAAAAACCCUUUGCUGUCCUUUCAGGUUGAAACUAAUAAUCAAAGUAGUUGGGUUUUUUUAGAAAAUUUUCAGUUUAAUUAUUUGGGUUAAUGAUGAAUGGGGAGAGCAAUUAUAUGUAUGGGUAUUAGUAUUAGUGUAUUAGUACACUUUUUGCAUUCUAGUUUUGGCCUUCACAACAUCACCUGGCAACGAGUUACGCAAGUUGACUGUGUGAGACUUUGAGUCCAAGAGAUGAGGAAAGUAUCUUGUAAGGAUUGUGGGCUCAUUCCCACCCAGGAACAAAACAUUGGGCAUUUUGUGUUCUCUUGUGGCAAAUAGAUCCAUGAUAGGGGUAACACCCUGGUGGAAUAUUAGUCUGAUGGGACCCUCCAAUAUUAGUCUGAUGGGACCCUCCAUGCAUGAAUGAUAGCAGUCUGGUGAAAAAAUCUGCUAAAUUGUUGAGUUCCAGGAAAUGAAGGUCUGUUGGAGUUAUCCCAUGGACUUGAUACCAUUUCCAAAAUUUGAUUGCCUCUUCGCAUGCAAACAAUGAACAAGCACCUCUUCGCUUGUUUGCACAAAUACUGUUGUCCGAAUACCAUGCUGAUGUGCUGUCCAUGAGGACUAAUAUGGUGAAAUUCUUUAAGGCUGAAUGGAAAGUUUUGCAUACUAGCCUGAUUGUCCUGAGACCACAUGUAAAUGUCUUAUCUGUUCCUGAGACCAUGUAUCUGACAUUGGUCCAGGUGAGCACCCACUUUGUACUGGAAGCAUCUGUGAUCAGUGACUUUAUACAUGGAGAAGGCGGGAUCCCCUUUGAAGGUAUUUUGACAAUCUGUCCACAAGUUGAGUGCUAGAUUAACUGAAACUACAACAUGCAUGAACAUCUGAUGUCUUGAAGGGCAAUACCCCCCAACCUCAGCUAUCCCUAUAAUCUGGCUAGCAGCAUCGCAUAAAUGCAAUCUGUCAUGUGGCCUAAGAGUUUGAGGCAAGUUCUCAAUGUGGUAGAUGGAAUUAAUUUGAUGGUGAAUACUAUUGUCCGGAUAGAUUGAAAUAUCUCCUCAGAAAGGUAUGCAUUUGCUGGUUUGGAAUCAUUAGAGCUCUUAUGAAUUCUCAUUUGUGAUGGAUAAUUUGCUAUAGUUUCUCUUUGAAUAGAAGGACAGAAUCAAGGGCCAUGGAGAACUCCUGAUGGGGGAAUGCCUUUAAUUAGCCAAUCGUCUAGGUAUGGGUAGACAUGAACACCCUAUCUCCAGAUGUGUUGCUAACACUGGUAGGCACUUUGUGAAAACUCUUGGUGUUGUGGAGAGACCAAAUGGCAGGAUUUUGUAUUGAUAGUGGUUGUGCCCUGCUGUGAAUUGCAAGUAUUUCCUAUGGGCUGGAAGGAUUUUGAUAUGGAAGUAUGUGUCUUGGAGGUCAGGAGCCACAAGUUUCAGCUUAUAAUGAAGGGAGGAAGGCUAAAGUCACCAUCCGGAAUCUGAAAUAGCAUAUAUGUUUGUAUAUAGGACAGGACAAAGACUCGCUUCAGUGUAAUGAGGAAAUACUGGGAAUUAAAACCUCUUCUUCUGAAUUCUAAAAGGUCCCCUUUUAUGGCCCCUAGCCAGAGUAAGGAAACUACUUUUUCAGUAAUUGGGAUUUCAUGAGAAGGGUCACCAAGGAAGCAGAGGGACAGAGACUGGAAUUGAAGAGCAUACUCUUGGGAGGUGACUUCUUGUACCCAUUUGUCAUUAGUAAUUCUAGUCUAAGAUGGAGGAAAUAAAGAAAGGCAGCAUGUGAAGUGUUUGCGGGGAGAGAGAAAGAGAGUGUCUGGUUGAGUUGUACUGGCUGAGUUGUGACUUUUCCCGUAUGUCAAGCCUGGUGCCUGGAUGAUGAAGCAGGAUGGCUAGUGCUGGAGAUGAUAGUACUCUCCUUUGGGAUAACCUAGGCUUCUUCCUGGGGGUAAUCAGCAGGCUGUUGUUAAGAAUAGUGGGUGUUCUGACUGGUCUGUCUUGGAUAAUUGAAGGGUUUUUUCCUUGAGGCCCAGACUGUAAAUAUCAAGGGAUUGUCAAGCAGCUCUGGAAUCCUUCAGUGAAUGCAAAUAGUCUUCAGAACAAGUGUUAAAUAAGUCUGUGCCUUCAAGGAGCAAGUCUUCAAUAUUAUUCUGUAUCUCCUAUGGGAUACCUGACAACACGCUCUUCAUUGUGACUACCGUGGCCAUGGAUGUAAUUACCAAAACCAAAGCAUCCAUGGCUGCUUGCAUGUUUUUGCCACUAACUGACCUUCGGAUAUUAUUGCCUUAAGUUCCUCACUAGCAUCUUGAAGUUAGACAUAAAGGGUUGUUUUGUCCCAGUUUUUCAUACUGAGCAAAUAGUGCUUGCUAAUUUGCUAGUCACAACUAGAGUGAGUCAGUGGAAUAAGCCUUUUCCCACAAAGAUGUUGAGCUUUUUAUGGGCUGUCUUUGGGAGUAGACUUCACUGGGCAAGGUGGUCUGGAUUUCUCGUGGAUUGCUGAGACCACCAGGGAUCUAUGACCCACGUUGGGAGUAAAAUUGUUCAAAUAUUUUCUGCAAAGCUUGAAAUCUUUGCUUGCUUUGCAAGUGUGGGCUAAGGCAGCUGAGGUAUGCCAGAGAUUUAUGGGGGGUCCCAAUAUGCCUUUAAUAGGUAUUACUAACCAAGUAAGCAGCCCCUGAAAAGGUCUAAAAGCUGGUAUUGGAGUGGAGACUACUUCGUCAGGCAGUGAUGAUGAGGGAUCUUUGAGAAGAGAUUGGCCUAUAUUGGUCUAGAGCUUUGGAACCUGCCUCUUCCUCAUGUGGCCCUCUAACAAUCUUAAGGCCAGGGGACUUGGGUGGUCUCAGGAAGGAGUAUUGAAAUUGCAGAAUUGUGCAACCUUUGCUUGCACAGUGAGUGAGAGGGAGAUCUAUUUCUAGACAGUUUUGAGGGUGGAUGUCAGUAAGGCCAGAAUUACCAUGGUACAAGAUUGUAAAGGUAGGGUUGAUUGGACUGUUUAGACCAGCGCCAGAGGUAUGGAGGACUAAGCUGAUGCUUAGAAAUGAGUGGCCCUCAUCUCAGGGGAACCGUUCCCAGAUCUCUGUUUUUAUGGUGGGUUAUUGGGGAAGGAUCUUGACUGGAAGGAGGAGAGAAGUAGAUGUGUUCCUAAAGGUGAUGGUGUCAGUACUAGUUUACUCUUGGCACCCACUCCUAGUAUUUUUGGUACAGAGAUUGGUACGAGAGUAGUAGUGAUGCCUGACAACAGAGAGUUUGAUGGAGGUUAGGGCUUCUGUUGUAAAUGCCAGCUCAGGUGUCAAUAUUACCAGCUUUGGUACUGAGAAAGUGGUAGGAGGAUUUUGUUACUAACAGAUACUAGGUUGGAAUUCAAUCCCUCAUCAGCUGACCCAUAUAAUGAAAGGGAUUUAUACUCAGUUCGCAACCCAAGGGGAUACUGAAAGCAAAGGGCUCUUAGGCCUUUCUGCUUUUCCCAUUUUUAGGAGAGGUAACUCAGUUCUGGGAAUCAUAUUGGUCCAUUGUUCUACUCUACCUUGUCUUGGUGUGGAGGUGGCGGUGCUGGCAUUCAUCACCAGCGCAGCUAUCGGUGCUAAGUUGAUUUUGGCAGUCAUGGAUGGGCUGUCAGUGCUGUGUCAGAUGUCUUACUGGGAGCAGUCUUGGGAGUCGCAUCCUAGCUCAAGUGUUGACUAACUGGGAGUUGCAGGUAAAAAGUGUUGUCUUGGAACACGCUGCCCAUUCUUCUGGGCCUGAAGUAACUCUACCAGAAGAAUCAGCUGUAGCUGAGUGUCUCUGCAUUUUCCCAUUCUUGAUGAGGAUUUAUAGAGCAAUACUCAAGCACAGGUCUUUCACCUAGAUAGACCUAGCUGUUGUCUGUUCUAUUUGUGAGGGGAAUGAGCCAGUGUUAAGUCUAUAUUUAAGUGUCCCGUGGGCUGGAACCUCCUAUACUUUUUGGAAAGUAAUUCCACAGCGUAACACCUCUUCCUCUUAGACUUUCAACCUGAAUUUUCUUCUGUUUCAUCCCAUGGCUCAAUCGUAAGCCCAUUUUACCAUCCUAAGUAUUUUCUCUCUCUUCUUGGUGUUAAACCUUUAGGUAGUCAUAAACCAUAAUAGUGUCUUUCCCCACUGUCAUUUCUUCACCACAAUCAAUAUAUUUGCCUUCUUAGGUCCCAAUCCUGCAAGCUGUUUUGUGCAGGCAGUUCCUUUAGUCUACGCAAAGCAGAAUUGAAGCCAAUAGGGGGCAUUAACUUUUCUUUCUAAAACAUUCCCUGCAAACCCCUGAACAUUUUUCUUGCUCUUCUUUAAGGAAGCUAGAAUAAUUUUCAGACAGUAUGCCACACAAUGUUAACUAUGUUUAGCACAAGACUAUUAUAUAGAUAAUUAAGGUUUUUGAUAUAGGCAGAAGCUUGUGAUAAAAGCCUGCUAAAAUUAAACAUUGCUAAAAAAAAAAAAACCCUGAAGAUGUUCUUUCUAGUUAGACUAUUUUAAAUGUUUUUGUUGCCUUGCUUUAUUUUAUUUAAUGUGCCUGACAGAAUGCUUGAGGCAUAAGUACAAUUUACAAUAAUAUUGAUGUUCAAUUUAAAAACAGAACUGAAGGCAAAACAUUUGAUUUUAAAAUCAGUUUAUUUCAAUGUACACUAUAAAGUAAUGGCAGUUUCUUUCACAAUCUCCCUUUUGAGUGUUAAGUGCUGUGAUGUACUGGAAACGCAGCAUAUUAGAAAUUUGACAAACUGAAGACAGUUUUAGGCAGUCAUCUCUGUGGAAAAAUAUUACUUUGACAGUAUUGGUAUUGUUUUUGCAUAAUUUUUAUGAGUAACGAUGGGCUAGAAUAUGUAACUAUAUUUGAUUCAGUAUUAUAGGUGCUCCACUCUGGAAGGGCUAAAUUUGCCUCAGUGAAGUCAGAGUUGACAUUCAGUACUUCUCAGAUCCCAACUCUACAAUUGCUGUGAAAUUAACCCUCUUUCUUGUAAAAAGUCUAAGAACGAAGGGCCAUCUUCACUUUCCCUUUAGAAUGGUUAGUGGCCUGUUUCAGAUGUGGACAAGAUGGAGAUUGAGGAGUAAGCCCUUACCAUAGGUGUUUGUUUUUUUAAUGGUCUGAGUCACUAAUUUGGGUCAAUAGCUAUCUACUCAGCCCACAACUGUUAGAGUUAAUUUGGUUCUAGAGUUUUAGCCGCCAUAGACAGCAUGGCCACAGUUGAGAGUUAGGGAAUGUAAAUUCACAGGCAAGAGCAAGGAGAGCUCACAUAUGAAAGAAUCUCAACCCCAUGUACUGUUGAUGCACUGCAGCUUUGAGGUUGAUUUUUGCUGGCAUGGGGAGGGAGAAGGACAAAGAGGGAGAAAGUUAAGGUGUCUAAACUGCUGGAUAUAUUUAGUCAACCGUACAAGAUAUAGCUGCACUACUCAGUCCUGCAUUAAGUUGGUUCUUAUUUUUAUAAUGACCCACUACAAAAAUUCAAAUCUUACCUCUUUUCAUUUUCAAAAUAUGAGAGUUUGAGGGAAAUCAGCUGUCUUGGAAUAGGCAGCAACAACUUCACAUGCAAACUAGCUGUCUUGCAAGGUAGAAUCCAGUUUAUACAUUCCCAGACAGGGCCAGAACUGCAGCUGAAGGUGAACACUGAUUCCACCAUUUGAGGAUAUUGUCACAUUGCCCUCUUCCUCCCCUCACCCGCCAAUGACAGCCAGCCUUGAUUCCUCUUCUGGCUUCUGAGGUGAUCUUAAUGAUAAUUUUCAUUUCAGAUAUCCAUUAGUUCCCAUCCUUAAGGGGCAGAUACUCAUCUGAGGUGGCUUCAGAGCUAAAAAUGGUGGUAGUCAGGGAAGGCUGGGCAUUAUCCAGAUCCAAACACAUUGACUUCAGAAGACAACUGAAGAGUGGUGUUCCUGCAUUGUCUCCUCUCCUGCUCCCCCAGUGGGAUAACAGUCCAAAGCCUCAACAGGGAAAGGGACAGAAUAGAAAUCCUGGGUUAUUUUAGGGAGCUUCUUCAAAGAUGCUGGGUCCUUUAGGAGGGAGGCUCUGUAAGCCUUAUUUAUCCAGCUAACCCCUCUGUGGAGUUUUCCUGGCAGUUGGGGGCAUGGGGAGAGAACAGAAAAAGGACCAAGGCGCUCUGUUUCCUCCACCUUUUCUUCUAGCUGACCAUUCACCUCUAGGCUGAAGUAAUAUUGUGAUUUGUGAGUGACCCAGAGAUUGCACGGACCCAGACCUCACUCAAACAACUGCAUUGACUAUAGUAUGCCACCACUGUUUGUGUACAAGUGCUGCAAUGGUGAGCUGCAUACACAUGGUACAUACGCCUUUCUUCCCAUGAUCUCUGUAUUGCUAGAAGUUGGCCAGAAAUACCUACUUAUAGGUUAGAAGGCAGAUGCCAGGUAAGUUGAAGGGGAGGAAUGGUGGCAAAUUUCCUCUUUGGGGUGGAUAUCUUCUGCCUGAGUAACAGCCAAAGAUAUGUAGGGUUGUAUUCUGCUUGCAGGUAAGUGAUGUCCUGUCUACUGAAGUCAAUGGCAAAACAAUCCUAUGUACAUGACUGGAAGUAGAAUGGGAUAGAGCCAUCUAAAGUAAUCAGCUUUGCUUAAAACCCAUUUCAUGUAGUGGAUACAUUUGAGGAAAUGUGGCUGAUAGAUCAAAGGGACACUAACUGGCUAGUUGAGCAUGAGGAAAUAGAGUUCUACAGAAAAAGAGUGGGGUACCUUCCCCAGGAGAAAAUACUGGGUAUGCUAAAGGGCUCCUUAAUUUAGCAGCUAAAGGCAUAACAAGAAUCAAUGGAUGGAAGCUAAAGCUACAACUCAAACUGGAAAUAAGGAGCUCAUUUUUAAGUGAAGGUGAUUAACCAUUGGAACAAACCUACACAAGGAAGUGGUGGAUUCUCCACAUAAAUACUGGAUGCCUUUCUGGAAAGUCUAGUUAAGCCCAAUACAAGGCCUAUUAUGGGCUCAGUAAUAGAGAUAAAUUGAGUUAAUGAGCUGUGAGCUACAAGGUCAAACUAGAUCUAAUAGUCCCUUCUCUUUAAAUUCUACAUAACUGUUAACAUUUCAAAUCAGGAUUUAUUUCAAGUCACAUGUAACACAAAACAAUGACAGUCUUCAAGCUUUACAUAAGUACUAUUACCUUCACUCUCACAAUCAGACCAAACCAAUUUUCCAAACUAAAAUCAUUGGGUGUGGUUAAAACAUGGAUUUAUAGUGGAAGCUGGUUUCAGCCUUUAUUAGCCUCUAGAAAAGGUCUACAUUAAAUAAGUUAAACGCAUUUAAAUAAUGUAAAAUAGAUGAGUUAUACUGGAUUAACCCUCAACAUUGGUUUAGCUUGCAUCAGUAAUGAUCAAUGUAAGCUAAGCUAGGCAAGAGUUAAGAGGUGUGUCUUCAUUAGACAUUUGAACUUAAAGGAUUUAAAAUUUAGUUAAACCUAUGCAACUUUAAUAUGGACAACACCUAGUGGAUCUCUAUACUGUAUUUAAUAUUGAAUAGCUAGAGG
Molecule: non-coding RNA, 10708 nt
Organism: Chrysemys picta bellii (western painted turtle)
Lineage: Eukaryota; Metazoa; Chordata; Testudines; Emydidae
Source: RefSeq, a predicted model, not a curated record